AGGUGAUAUGAACCGUUAUAACCGGCGAUUUCCGAAUGGGGAAACCCAGUGUGUUUCGACACACUAUCAUUAACUGAAUCCAUAGGUUAAUGAGGCGAACCGGGGGAACUGAAACAUCUAAGUACCCCGAGGAAAAGAAAUCAACCGAGAUUCCCCCAGUAGCGGCGAGCGAACGGGGAGGAGCCCAGAGCCUGAAUCAGUGUGUGUGUUAGUGGAAGCGUCUGGAAAGGCGCGCGAUACAGGGUGACAGCCCCGUACACAAAAAUGCACAUAUUGUGAGCUCGAUGAGUAGGGCGGGACACGUGGUAUCCUGUCUGAAUAUGGGGGGACCAUCCUCCAAGGCUAAAUACUCCUGACUGACCGAUAGUGAACCAGUACCGUGAGGGAAAGGCGAAAAGAACCCCGGCGAGGGGAGUGAAAAAGAACCUGAAACCGUGUACGUACAAGCAGUGGGAGCCUCUUAAUGGGGUGACUGCGUACCUUUUGUAUAAUGGGUCAGCGACUUAUAUUCUGUAGCAAGGUUAACCGAAUAGGGGAGCCGAAGGGAAACCGAGUCUUAACUGGGCGUUAAGUUGCAGGGUAUAGACCCGAAACCCGGUGAUCUAGCCAUGGGCAGGUUGAAGGUUGGGUAACACUAACUGGAGGACCGAACCGACUAAUGUUGAAAAAUUAGCGGAUGACUUGUGGCUGGGGGUGAAAGGCCAAUCAAACCGGGAGAUAGCUGGUUCUCCCCGAAAGCUAUUUAGGUAGCGCCUCGUGAAUUCAUCUCCGGGGGUAGAGCACUGUUUCGGCAAGGGGGUCAUCCCGACUUACCAACCCGAUGCAAACUGCGAAUACCGGAGAAUGUUAUCACGGGAGACACACGGCGGGUGCUAACGUCCGUCGUGAAGAGGGAAACAACCCAGACCGCCAGCUAAGGUCCCAAAGUCAUGGUUAAGUGGGAAACGAUGUGGGAAGGCCCAGACAGCCAGGAUGUUGGCUUAGAAGCAGCCAUCAUUUAAAGAAAGCGUAAUAGCUCACUGGUCGAGUCGGCCUGCGCGGAAGAUGUAACGGGGCUAAACCAUGCACCGAAGCUGCGGCAGCGACACUAUGUGUUGUUGGGUAGGGGAGCGUUCUGUAAGCCUGUGAAGGUNNNNNNNNNNNNNNNNNNNNNNNNNNNNNNNNNNNNNNNNNNNNNNNNNNNNNNNNNNNNNNNNNNNNNNNNNNNNNNNNNNNNNNNNNNNNNNNNNNGCGACAAAUGCCCUGCUUCCAGGAAAAGCCUCUAAGCAUCAGGUAACAUCAAAUCGUACCCCAAACCGACACAGGUGGUCAGGUAGAGAAUACCAAGGCGCUUGAGAGAACUCGGGUGAAGGAACUAGGCAAAAUGGUGCCGUAACUUCGGGAGAAGGCACGCUGAUAUGUAGGUGAAGCGACUUGCUCGUGGAGCUGAAAUCAGUCGAAGAUACCAGCUGGCUGCAACUGUUUAUUAAAAACACAGCACUGUGCAAACACGAAAGUGGACGUAUACGGUGUGACGCCUGCCCGGUGCCGGAAGGUUAAUUGAUGGGGUUAGCGGUAACGCGAAGCUCUUGAUCGAAGCCCCGGUAAACGGCGGCCGUAACUAUAACGGUCCUAAGGUAGCGAAAUUCCUUGUCGGGUAAGUUCCGACCUGCACGAAUGGCGUAAUGAUGGCCAGGCUGUCUCCACCCGAGACUCAGUGAAAUUGAACUCGCUGUGAAGAUGCAGUGUACCCGCGGCAAGACGGAAAGACCCCGUGAACCUUUACUAUAGCUUGACACUGAACAUUGAGCCUUGAUGUGUAGGAUAGGUGGGAGGCUUUGAAGUGUGGACGCCAGUCUGCAUGGAGCCGACCUUGAAAUACCACCCUUUAAUGUUUGAUGUUCUAACGUUGGCCCGUAAUCCGGGUUGCGGACAGUGUCUGGUGGGUAGUUUGACUGGGGCGGUCUCCUCCUAAAGAGUAACGGAGGAGCACGAAGGUUGGCUAAUCCUGGUCGGACAUCAGGAGGUUAGUGCAAUGGCAUAAGCCAGCUUGACUGCGAGCGUGACGGCGCGAGCAGGUGCGAAAGCAGGUCAUAGUGAUCCGGUGGUUCUGAAUGGAAGGGCCAUCGCUCAACGGAUAAAAGGUACUCCGGGGAUAACAGGCUGAUACCGCCCAAGAGUUCAUAUCGACGGCGGUGUUUGGCACCUCGAUGUCGGCUCAUCACAUCCUGGGGCUGAAGUAGGUCCCAAGGGUAUGGCUGUUCGCCAUUUAAAGUGGUACGCGAGCUGGGUUUAGAACGUCGUGAGACAGUUCGGUCCCUAUCUGCCGUGGGCGCUGGAGAACUGAGGGGGGCUGCUCCUAGUACGAGAGGACCGGAGUGGACGCAUCACUGGUGUUCGGGUUGUCAUGCCAAUGGCACUGCCCGGUAGCUAAAUGCGGAAGAGAUAAGUGCUGAAAGCAUCUAAGCACGAAACUUGCCCCGAGAUGAGUUCUCCCUGACUCCUUGAGAGUCCUGAAGGAACGUUGAAGACGACGACGUUGAUAGGCCGGGUGUGUAAGCGCAGCGAUGCGUUGAGCUAACCGGUACUAAUGAACCGUGAGGCUUAACCUUACAACGCCGAAG
RNAcentral lists this ribosomal RNA (2603 nucleotides) under Escherichia coli. RNAcentral's name for it is "23S ribosomal RNA". It matches the Rfam family "Bacterial large subunit ribosomal RNA". Lineage: Bacteria; Pseudomonadati; Pseudomonadota; Gammaproteobacteria; Enterobacterales; Enterobacteriaceae. The record is from RNAcentral.